CGCGCCGCUUCCCGGGGUCAUCCGCGAUGCUGCGUGCGGCGCGUGGCGGUGCCGGGCUCCUGCGGCGGGGACCGGGAGCGGGGCCGGGAGCGGGUCUGCGCCUCGCGCCGGGCCCCGGCCCCGCCUGGCGCCCCCCGGGGCGGCUCCUGCAGCACGCGCUCCCGCCCGCCGCCCCGCCCGCCGUGGGGCGGUGGCUCCUGGUCUGCAGCGGCGCCGUGGCCGGGGCCGUGGUGCUGGGCGGCGUCACCAGGCUGACGGAAUCGGGUUUGUCUAUGGUUGACUGGCACCUGGUAAAAGAAAUGAAACCCCCGAGGACGCAGCAAGAGUGGGAAGCUGAGUUCCAGAAGUACCAGCAGUUCCCAGAGUUUAAAAUCCUCAAUCACGACAUGACGCUGACAGAGUUCAAGUUCAUUUGGUACAUGGAGUAUUCGCACCGCAUGUGGGGCCGCGCGGUGGGCCUGGCCUACAUCCUGCCCGCCGCCUACUUCUGGAGAAGGGGCUGGCUCAGCCGCCCCAUGAAGGGCUGCGUCCUCACGCUCUGCGGGCUGGUCUGCUUCCAGGGACUGCUGGGAUGGUACAUGGUGAAGAGUGGGCUGGAAGAGAAGCCAGACUCUUUCGACAUUCCUCGGGUCAGUCAGUACCGCCUGGCAGCACACCUCGGCUCCGCCCUCCUUCUCUACUCUGCUAGCCUGUGGACAGGGCUGUCUCUGCUGCUCCCGCGACACCAGUUACCUGAGACCCAUCAGCUGCUCCGCCUGAGACAGUUUGCUCAUGGCACUACAGCUCUCAUUUUUCUUACCGCUCUUUCAGGUGCUUUUGUGGCAGGGCUGGAUGCUGGCCUUGUGUACAAUUCCUUCCCCAAAAUGGGGGAGCGCUGGAUCCCAGAUGAUCUUCUUGCCUUCUCCCCCAUGCUGAGAAAUAUCUUUGAGAAUCCUACAACUGUACAGUUCAAUCACAGGAUCUUGGGCAUUGCCUCAGUGACAGCUGUCACUGCACUGUACCUCUUCUCCCGGAAGGUCCCGCUCCCUCGCAGGACCAGGAUGGCAGUGACUUCCUUACUGGCUGUGGCUUACAUGCAGGUACUGUCUUUGUUGUUUUUUUUUCUUCUCCUAUGUUUUUCUUCUCCCUCUAGCCCUUUGUAGCAUAUUGACAAGACAGAGCCAUCCGUAGCUUGGGCGUGUGCUAGCCCCAAGAGCCUGGAGCUUUGUGAUGGAGCUACCUGGACUUGGAGCCUCACUGUUCUGCACCAACAGUCAGAAUUUGAGGGUGGAAAAAUCCGGCUGUGGCUGUGGGCCUUUCCACAUCAUACUCAGUGCUGGCAAUGUGUCUCAGAGGGGCACCCGCAGCUGCUCUUAACCCCUUCUCCCUUCUUGGCAGGGUGAUCAUCACGAUGCUGGUCACCACCGCCGUGUG
Molecule: RNA transcript, 1413 nt
Organism: Apus apus (common swift)
Lineage: Eukaryota; Metazoa; Chordata; Aves; Apodiformes; Apodidae
Gene: COX15
Gene name: cytochrome c oxidase assembly protein COX15 homolog
Exons: 8
Source: RefSeq, a predicted model, not a curated record